UACGAAGGGGGCUAGCGUUGUUCGGAAUUACUGGGCGUAAAGCGCACGUAGGCGGACAUUUAAGUCAGGGGUGAAAUCCCAGAGCUCAACUCUGGAAUUGCCUUUGAUACUGGGUGUCUUGAGUAUGGAAGAGGUGAGUGGAAUUCCGAGUGUAGAGGUGAAAUUCGUAGAUAUUCGGAGGAACACCAGUGGCGAAGGCGGCUCACUGGUCCAUUACUGACGCUGAGGUGCGAAAGCGUGGGGAGCAAACAGG
RNAcentral lists this ribosomal RNA (253 nucleotides) under uncultured bacterium. Its description in RNAcentral is "partial 16S ribosomal RNA". It matches the Rfam family "Bacterial small subunit ribosomal RNA", at positions 524 to 776 of the family's 1533-position model. The record is from RNAcentral.